CCCUUAGAUGUUCUGGGCCGCACGCGCGCUACACUGAUACAUGCAACGAGUUUAUAACCUUGAUCUGACGGUCUGGGUAAUCUUCAAACUGUAUCGUGUUAGGGAUCGAUUCUUGCAAUUUUUAAUCGUAAACGAGGAAUUCCUAGUAAACGCAAGUCAUCAGCUUGCAUUGAUUAUGUCCCUGCCCUUUGUACACACCGCCCGUCGACUCUACCGAUUGAAUGGUUCGGUGAAAACUUUGGACUGUGGCAUUGUCCUUCAUUGGACUUCGCCGUAGGAAAUUGUUUAAACCUCAUCAUUUAGAGGAAGAAUAAGUCGUAACA
Molecule: ribosomal RNA, 323 nt
Filed under: uncultured eukaryote
Lineage: Eukaryota
Description: partial 18S ribosomal RNA
Rfam family: Eukaryotic small subunit ribosomal RNA
Source: RNAcentral